AUAUAAAGUUAGGUCAAUAUUAUCAAGGUUAAUGAAAUCUAAAGCAUCCCUUGUUUUGCUCAAAUUCCUAUAAAGUAUAAACAUGAAAAAAACAACAUGAAUAUAAACCAUAUAUAUUAGUGAUAAAUCUAAUUU
Molecule: long non-coding RNA, 135 nt
Organism: Populus euphratica (Euphrates poplar)
Lineage: Eukaryota; Viridiplantae; Streptophyta; Magnoliopsida; Malpighiales; Salicaceae
Exons: 2
Source: RefSeq, a predicted model, not a curated record